UAUAUUUUGGUGUAUGGUGCACAUGAAUUUUUGAUGUUCGGGGAGUUAGUUUAAUUCUACCAAAUAUAA
This 69-nucleotide transfer RNA is filed under the name Rugitermes sp. Its description in RNAcentral is "tRNA-Gln". The record is from RNAcentral. Lineage: Eukaryota; Metazoa; Arthropoda; Insecta; Blattodea; Kalotermitidae.